CCCCACCCCAAUCCCUAAAUUCUUAUUCAACCCUUUUUACAAUAAUGAGUAAUUCUAUAUCCCUAUAGAAAUUUUUAUGUUAAAACUAGUAACAAGAAGACGACCCUUCUCCUGAAUGCAAACAUAAACCAGAAAGGACACACCACUGGUAAUUAACACCCCUGAGCUGCUAAUAGCAACGUCAUGAAAAACCCCUAUUUAUUAACAUGUUAACCUAACACAAGAGCAUUAAAAGAAAGAUUAAAAGGAAAAGAAGGAACUCGGCAAACAACAACCUCGCCUGUUUACCAAAAACAUCGCCUCUCGAACAAAUAUGAGAGGUCCAGCCUGCCCAGUGACUCUGUUCAACGGCCGCGGUAUCCUAACCGUGCAAAGGUAGCGUAAUCACUUGUCCUUUAAAUGAGGACUAGUAUGAACGGCACCACGAAGGUUACACUGUCUCCUUUUCCCAAUCAGUGAAACUGAUCUCCCCGUGAAGAAGCGGGGAUAAAUAUACAAGACGAGAAGACCCUAUGGAGCUUUAAACGAAACAACAGCCGCCACCUAAAUUAAAUUCCAGAAAAUUCAUCUCUACCCCGGCAGCAUGAUUGCUAGUUUUAGGUUGGGGUGACCGCGGAGAAUAAACCAUCCUCCACAUUGAAAGGGGACUCCCCUAAGCAAAAAGCCACAACUUUACGCAUCAAUAAAUUGACAUCAAUUGACCCAAUAUUUUGAUCAACGAACCAAGUUACCCUAGGGAUAACAGCGCAAUCCAUUUUGAGAGCCCCUAUCGACAAAUGGGUUUACGACCUCGAUGUUGGAUCAGGGUAUCCCAGUGGUGCAGCCGCUACUAAUG
This 835-nucleotide ribosomal RNA is filed under the name Fritziana cf. fissilis CTMZ 01563. RNAcentral describes it as "partial 16S ribosomal RNA". It matches the Rfam family "Bacterial large subunit ribosomal RNA", at positions 1490 to 2570 of the family's 2925-position model. The record is from RNAcentral. Lineage: Eukaryota; Metazoa; Chordata; Amphibia; Anura; Hemiphractidae.